AUUGAACGCUGGCGGCAGGCCUAACACAUGCAAGUCGAGCGGAUGCAGGGAGCUUGCUUCUGGAUUCAGCGGCGGACGGGUGAGUGAUGCCUAGGAAUCUGCCUGUUUGUGGGGGAUAACGUCCGGAAACGGGCGCUCAUACCGCAUACGUCCUGAGGGCGAACGUGGGGGAUCUUCGGACCUCACGCUCUCAGAUGAGCCUAGGUCGGGUUAGCUAGUUGGUGGGGUAAAGGCCUACCAAGGCGACGAUCCGUAACUGGUCUGAGAGGAUGAUCAGUCACACUGGAACUGAGACACGGUCCAGACUCCUACGGGAGGCAGCAGUGGGGAAUAUUGGACAAUGGGCGAAAGCCUGAUCCAGCCAUGCCGCGUGUGUGAAGAAGGUCUUCGGAUUGUAAAGCACUUUAAGUGGGAAAGAAGGGCAGUAAGUUAAUACCUUGCUGUUUUGACGUUACCAACAGAAUAAGCACCGGCUAACUUCGUG
This 484-nucleotide ribosomal RNA is filed under the name uncultured bacterium. Its description in RNAcentral is "partial 16S ribosomal RNA". It matches the Rfam family "Bacterial small subunit ribosomal RNA", at positions 30 to 507 of the family's 1533-position model. The record is from RNAcentral.